This 548-nucleotide long non-coding RNA is filed under the name Androctonus crassicauda. The record is from RNAcentral. Lineage: Eukaryota; Metazoa; Arthropoda; Arachnida; Scorpiones; Buthidae.
AUUUUAUUACUAUCAUUAUUGUACUCUUAUAAAACAAAAAGGAAUCAACAGAAUGAAAAUUAGCUUUCUUUAAACCCCCUUUUUCCCCUUGAUUAUUAUUGUAAAUUAAAAAUAAAUAUAAAUAUAAUGGAUUGGAAUUGCUGUGUGAGAAAACCAAUACAGUGGGAGAGCCAGACUGUGAGACCAGAAAUAAAAACAUUGGAGUUACAACAAAAUGAAUCAUCUUUUUUUUUGAGGGAAAGAGAGCAAAAAACUUGGAGAAAAAGAGAGGGAAAAGAGAUUGUCCUCUCUUCAAAGGAAGAAUUCAGAAGAAUUAAGAUUAAAGAGAAAAAACAACAGUACUGAAGGAAAAUAAAGAACAAAAACCAUUCUGAUUUAAGUUGAUUCCAAUCUCUGACUCAUCUGAAACAUUCAACUCUUCCAGGUAUGUUGAACAAACGAGAAGUUUCAACCCAUUUGCUCUGGCUAAAUUUGAUAGUUAGUUUGUCCUGUUUGUGUAUAGAUUGUUUCUUUGAUUUUUCUUUUUCUAAUUCUCAUUACUAGUUCUC